Molecule: long non-coding RNA, 888 nt
Organism: Alosa sapidissima (American shad)
Lineage: Eukaryota; Metazoa; Chordata; Actinopteri; Clupeiformes; Clupeidae
Exons: 3
Source: RefSeq, a predicted model, not a curated record
CUCCAGAGCGGACACGGCCUUUCUGUCAACAGCCGCCCAGUGCUCGGCUCAGCUGCCAGGUGGUGGACUGGACACAGCGCCAAAUGCUCCAGGAGCUGCUGUGUGUUUAUGGGAUUUCCUCCGUUAACGCUGGCCACUGUCACCUUUCUGUGAAGUCCAUGUUAUAUGGCAUACACAGCGGUAAUUGUUUUACGAUGGCGAUCCCUGAAAUUCAGAAUAAAGUUGGAGGGCCAGUAAGGAUUUGUCAUAUGCUUCUCAGGCCUGCACGUGGGGUGUGGCCUACGAGGUCACCGGCACAUAAGUUCAGGAAUCUCUCAAAUACCUGAACCUCAGGGAGGUGGUGCUGGGCGGCUACGUCACCAAGAUGGUGGAGUUCCAACCGCAGGAGGAGGGCGAAGCUCCUCUGCUGGCCUCUGUCAGCCAUAAGAUCACCCGGAGGGUCUGAAAUGGUUUAGUCGGAUGAUAAACUCACUAUGGCAUAGGGAAGGAGAAGCCAGCUGCUAGGCUUACUCAGUUAACAGUCCUACACUAACAGUACCAGAGGUAGCCAGCUAUAGGCUAAGUAAGUUAACCAACACAUUUGCAUGUCUGAUUGAGUGUAGUGGAGUCUUAAAGUGGCUAGACAGGGCUGGACAAUUUGGCUAAAAACACUGAUCUCGAUACAGCAAGGAGAAAUGGUGAUAUACGAUAAAAUAUGAUCCAAGCACAAGCGGAGACACUUUGCAGGCAAUUACCCUUAAAUACAAUGAUAAAUCUUAUGAAAUAACGUACAUAUUGCAAAGUUCACAAAUUAUACUGUCAAACAUCUUAAUAGUUGCACUCACAGUUACACACGCAAAUCCACGCACAUCACUGCUCUACAAAAUGGGGCACCUUUUGGUGUGCAAA